UGUUCCAUUGAAUUCUCCCACUGUCAUAGUGCCAUCGCCACAAGUCCUUGUCUCGCUACCAACCAGAGAGAACCCUACGUCACAGCUGAAAUAAGCCUCCGUUUCAAAACUAAAGGUGCUGGCAGAGUCUCACAGGUAAUAGCUGCAUGUAGAAUUAAGGUCAUUCAUGCAUGCAGUGUAUAUAGUAUAUAGUGGCGUGGAAGAUGUUUUGACAAAUGGGGGCUAUAGUGAUUUGGAUUUGGAACUGUGUAUGCAUUGCCUAUAUUAAUGUAUAAUUAGCGAUCAGAACUUGAUAAUUACAUAUAUAUCCUUUACUGUCUUACGUUUGCACACUGGAGCCUCUGUAUCAAACACUCCCAUGGAGCUGCUGCCAUUGCCAACACACACACUGACUGGUUCACCAAUGAGAGCAAACCCAAAUGAGCAGCUAAAGUUUGCCUCCGCCCCAAAACUGAACGUAUCUAUUAAAACUUCCCGUAUACUGUAUUCAACAAUUCCAUUGUCCGGGGCUUCUAGUGCUGGGCAUCUUAUAGCUGUGCACAAAUAGAUCCGAAUUAUAGAUGGAGAGUACGAAAUGAUUGUCAUAAUAGCCGAAUAAUAAGUAUACAUGCAUACAGAUAAUUUUUAUGGCAUGACAUAAUUAUCUACAGGCACAUGCAGGUAUAUAGUAUGACAUGCACACAUCAUUGAUACCGUAUAGCGGGAAAUUUUGCGGGUGCAAAUUUUUGCUAUUUGGCUCAGCAGAAAUUUCCGUGGGUUCUAAUAUUCGCGAUUUAAUUUCAGGAAACCACACCCACCAAUAGCUUUGCAUGUGAAAUACCGGUGCGUGAGAGUGUAUCUCUGUUUUAAUUUUCACAUCAACUGUCUGCCCUCGAAAAACGCGAAAGUUUUCACCUCACGAAAUUUCCCGCUGUUUUACGAUUGUUUCGAGGCGAGUUAUUCUUGUAGCAGGUUUGGAUCCACAGUAGAGAUAGAAAAGUUAGAUACCAGAACCAUAGGUCGCCAGUUAUACUUAUGAGCCAAGCAUAAAUAGUAGUUUCUUGUGGGGUACUGAAUCGUACGGUGGCCGAGAAGCCUCCGCCUCCGCCUACCGCCACAAUGAACCUUGCGCGCUUCAAUUCUAAGCGCGCGGAUGUUUUGUUAACCGCACACGCUUAAUUCUAAACACUCGCGGUAAACACAUUAAGCGCGCGCGCGGUUGUUCCUGAUGUCCGCGUGCGGUAGGAGACACACAGCGCGCGGUUGAACUAGACUUCUACAAGCUACGUUUAUGAGUUUUUCCUGCUAUUUCUUAUAAUAUUAUAAGACUGAUAUCUUCUAAGUUUACGUAUAAAUACACAGUCCUUUAAUGUGUGACCACAAUGAGCUUUUAUGGUAUGAGGAUAGCAAUCGAAACCAUCUUCCAUAUAUAGUCCUACGUAGUCUACACCUACCAUUGCAGUGAGGUUCAGCACCAUUCCACUGUCCUACAGUGUUGACUACAUCGCCGAGACACACCCUCAGAACAUCACCUCGUUCCAGUCCCAGGCCAAGGUUGCAAGUGUACUUAGCCUCAGUGCCAAGCGGGAAAGGGGGUGGUUGGUUAAUGGAAUAUGUGAUUGUUCCGUUUUCAGGCUCAGAGAGUUCGGGACAUACCACCGUUUCAGCUGAAAGCAAAGUCAUACAUACAAGCAUUAGCUUAAAUGAUAAUUAAGAAAACUGUUGCUUCAAAAAUCAUACAAGUCAGUGCAUGAGACAACUAUAUAGCGAUCAUGCACACUCUCAACAUAUUUUUUAUGCUAGUAAAAACUCUGCUAGUAAAAACUCUACUGUGGACACGUAAUGCUCACCCUCAUUGUCAAUAAUAGUGAUAGUUGUGACAUCAGUGUCUCCCCCAGAUGAAAACUCUCCUCGAGUUGAGAGUAUAGAAGCAACCACAAUAAUUACCUCAUCAAUCUCAAUGGGUACAUCUUGAAGUAUAGAGACAUUUACAAAGAACUUGGUGCCUGGUCCAGAACCAGCCUCAAAGGUCAAUGUGGUUCCAAAGCUCAAGUAGUCUUCCCCAACUAUAAUUAUGUGAGAAUGAUAAAGCUAUGCUAUACACAUACGUAUAUUUAGUUUAAUCAAAACAUUUGCGUGUGCUGUGUACAGUUUUCAAACUGCAAGAUCUACGUCUGGUAAAUCAAUUUAUGGAGGUACGUACUUAUCUACAGUCGCACAAUCUAGUAUACAGUUGUGAGCAAUACAUGCAAUCAGAGACGUAUUGCGAAUACAAAAAUAACCUGCAAAAACACAAUGGCUGCACAUGUUUUAACAACAACAGUGAUACACGUAUACAGGAGUAUCACCUUAAAUAGUCAUUCAGUAUUAAUUCCUAUUAUGCUUACUGGUAGCAAGUCUGUUGACUGGAACGAAAAUUCCAAGCAAAUUUGCCAUCUGUGUUCCAUCUUGAACAAGCACGUGAAUUGGAAACGUGAGAGUUGAUUGGACUAGCUCAACAGACAGCUGCACAAUUGUAUCAUUCUCAUCCACUGUAAAGUUGGUCUCAGUCAACAGGAAAACAGGUACUAUAUAAAAAAGAAAUCAUUCAAAAGAGAAAAUAAUGUCCUUACAAAAAAAUACUGUUACAGUAUAAUUAUAUAGUUCAUAACCUAGUAACACUGGUACAGACAUAAACGAUUGACGUUCAAAUUUUAGCAGAUUGGAUUGUUAAGAUGGUGUAGCUAUACUUACAUGUUUGUGAAGUUAUUUGUUUUCAUGCCAGGAUUGUAAUUUAUAGCAUUGUUGUGAACCAAGGUACAAUAUACACACUUUUGUUCAUUACCAUCGACAUCCAUAAUAGUUCCCUCUACUAAGUCUUCUCCCACAGGGAAUGCCAAACGAGCCAGAGGCAUUGUGGUCAGCUGCAAUAUCAGAGUCUCAUUCUCCUCCUCCACCAGUAGGUCCCGCAGAAUGGUUACUUGAGCAGAAGAGGAGAUGCCAGGACCAGAACCAGUAUCAAAUGUUAGGAUGAGCGAAGCAGUAAAAUCUCCAUCUAAUAAAAGUGAUGGCCCAUGAUAAAAGUGCAUACUCACAUUUACAGACAAGGAUACUUCGUUCAUGUAUUUCAAGUAUCACUCUCUCCUCUCUUCCCCAUUUUCUCCCCAAUCUCUCCCAUUUCCUCAUUUAAAGUAUACUUAUGAUUGAUCGCUGCCGUGCAAAGCGAUAAAAGCUCAUUGAUUUGAUGUUAUGUUUAGAGUAUGUUAAAUACAUGUACGUAUAGCCUGGAGAUAAUCUUACCACUGAUUUUAGCUGUUCCAAUGUCAUUAAGGACAAUCUCCACUGGAAAGGGUAGAGUUCCCACAAGCAGUGACACAACAAUGGAUUCAGCGAGCGUACUAGCAGUCUCAGUGACUGUGAAUGAGCCUGGCGAAUUAGUGAUCUGGAACAUUACUGCAUAAACAAAACCACCACAGAAGGGGUAGAUCUGUUUUAUUUCUCACCGUCCUCGUCCAAGAUGAUGACAGUGGCCAUGAUAAAGGUUGUGUUAACAUUGGGAUCAGGUGAGUCAGCUGUCACAAUGAACAUCUCGUCAAACUCAAUCAGAUUGUCAUUAAAGACUUCUAUCUGGAUACACAUCAGAGAUCCUGGCCCGCCUUGAGCAGUGGCAUUGAAAAACAUUGAGGUGGUAUUCACAAAACUAUAGUCUUCUGGUUCUGGAAGAAAAAUAAUUGUACUGUAUACACGUAUAAUCUUAUAAACCGAGAGAUUAAAUUUAUGUUUUUAAAUCCAUGUUGCACAGCGUACAAAUUUUUCAUUCCAUACCUGUAGCAUUUCCGUCUACUGUGACCAGACUCACAACCACAUCUCUGGGUAAAAACCCCUCAGUGGCUAUUUCCAGACAAACUGUUACAUUCCCCACAUCCUCUCUCACCAGCAUUGACACCUCCACCAAGGCAUCAGCACCCGCGGUGCUUUCAUUAUAUAAGGAAAUUGAGAACAGGCGAGUCCACAUGCAGGAUAAGGUUACUUCACUCACCGCAUUGCACAGGCUGUAUGUUCUCAGUAAAACGUCUUAUUCGAUGAGAUCUUUCAAGAGUAUGUCUUGCAAACCGAGGAUUUCCUGUGGUAACAUUAUCUCCAAUAUCAUCGCCCUCUAUUCCGAGGCCGUCCAAGUCAAUGGGGGGUGGUUCCAACUCAUCGAGGGUUAGGGCCUCACCAUUACCCUCAAGUGCCAGCCUCGAAUGUGCAGCCAGGAGGAUACUAGUGACAUCUGCCUCGCGCGUAGCAGGGAUUACAGCCUGUCAGCAUGCAUGCAAGGUCCAUUGAAGAUUGUGACAGAAUCGUUAGUCAGCGGAGCGUCACGAAUGAAUUCCAGCUGGGUACCGUUGGUAUCCAUGACUACUAGCUUGUUGAUGGGAGAUGGCAAUCUUUUUUGGAGCAUUGGAGCAUUCAUUAUAUUAAUGUUAGAUUUUUCACCUGCGUAUGACUGCCAUGUUCAUCAUGUCAAGAAUAGUGACCACUCUGUUGACGUACGUGAUGCCACCAUUAAAAGGAACAUUAACCUCAUCCACGCUACAGGCCAGGGUUGUGGCAUCCUCCAAACUGAGAGUGCUUCUCUUCAUUCGCUUAACAUACUCCACUUGACGCCUAACUCUGGCAUU
Molecule: long non-coding RNA, 4622 nt
Organism: Halichondria panicea
Lineage: Eukaryota; Metazoa; Porifera; Demospongiae; Suberitida; Halichondriidae
Exons: 6
Source: RefSeq, a predicted model, not a curated record